This is a non-coding RNA of Stegodyphus mimosarum, 73 nucleotides long. The record is from Rfam. NCBI's taxonomy places the organism in Eukaryota, Metazoa, Arthropoda, Arachnida, Araneae, Eresidae.
GCCUUCGUGGUAUAGUGGUCAGCACGCUCGACGCGUAUUGGAAAGGUUCGUGGUUCGAAUCCCGACAAGGGCA